CCUACGGGAGGCAGCAGUGAGGAAUAUUGGUCAAUGGACGCAAGUCUGAACCAGCCAUGCCGCGUGAAGGAAGACUGCUCUAUGGGUUGUACACUGCUUUUUUAAAAGACUAAACUGAUACACGCGUGCCUUUCUGUAAGUACUUUAUGAAUAAGGAUCGGCUAACUCCGUGCCAGCAGCCGCGGUACUACGGAGGAUUCAAGCGUUAUCCGGAUUUAUUGGGUUUAAAGGGAGCGUAGGCGGGUGGUUAAGUCAGGGGUGAAAGCCCGCGGCGCAACCGUAAAAGUGCAAUUGAUACUGGCAGGCUUGAGUACAGUUGAGGUAGGCGGAAUGUGUGGUGUAGCGGUGAAAUGCUUAGAGAUCACAAAGAACACCGAUUGCGAAGGCAGCUUACCAAGCUGCCACUGACGUUGAUGCACGAAAGUGUGGGUAUCAAACAGGAUUAGAUACCCCGGUAGUC
This 460-nucleotide ribosomal RNA is filed under the name uncultured bacterium. Its description in RNAcentral is "partial 16S ribosomal RNA". It matches the Rfam family "Bacterial small subunit ribosomal RNA", at positions 338 to 795 of the family's 1533-position model. The record is from RNAcentral.